This 1011-nucleotide long non-coding RNA is filed under the name Homo sapiens (human). Its description in RNAcentral is "HSALNT0208086". Lineage: Eukaryota; Metazoa; Chordata; Mammalia; Primates; Hominidae. The record is from RNAcentral.
ACAAGCUAAAGGAAUCGUAGAUUGUUUUUACUCCUGCCACAUGGUGGAGCUACUUCAGCUUUAAUGGAAAGAACCAGCCAUUGUUAGUAUGGAAAUUGAUUGCCUCUUCAUUUCACAACACACCACAUGGAUCCUCUACACUGGUGGACCAGGAAAUCGCAACUACUUUAGACACCUUGAAACAGCUCUUGGCUCUUUGCUGGAUCCUAGUAUUUGACCAUGGACCAUUAAGUAUCAUGUGACCAGAAAUGCCCCCUAUGAAAUGAGUAUUGCUUAACCCACCACCAUGUUCUGUUGGUUAUAAUCAAGUCACAGAGCCAGUCCAGAUCAAGGGGAAGGAAUUAUGCAAAAUUCCGAAUACUGAGAGACAUAGUUCAUUGGAAGACCAUCUUUGGAAACCAGCAGCUAUCACAGUUUCCUUGGAUAUUUUCUGAAUAGAGAGAUUCUUACAUUAAUAACUGUUCUCUUCACCAAUAAAUAUUUAUGGAGAACAUACAGUAUGUGCAGAACCUGAACAUAAGUGGAAGAAACAGGGAAAGCAUUGCACCUUCCUCAAAGUUUGUGCAUUCUACCAUGAAAUAUUCACACUAACAUUGAAGCUAAGAGUAGGCUGGAAAUCCCAGAAGUGAAAAUUAAUAUACUGGUACUGAUGGUCAAUGGGUGUAUUAUAGCUCUCUGUGGUGAAAUAAAUAGAUUGAUAAUGGGCUUCUGUAUAUAGUUGUAUCAACAAUAAAACGAUGGAAUGCUUUCUAGCUCAAGAUUUUUACAACCCAAUGAUCCUUAAUCUGGUAACUCAUUCCUCAUAAGACUCAUUCCUCAUAAGACCUGCUUACCUCAAAGAAUUGUUUAUGAGGAUACGUUAAAAUAAGUAUCAGAAAGGACCUUGUAAACUAUAAACAAUGGUACAAAUGUAAGAGACAGUUAUUGCAUUUUCAAAAAGAACUCAUAAUAGGCGUGAUGUAAAUAUUUGUUGAAUAAAUGAAUGAGAAAAUAAAAUAAAUUCUUGAGACA